RNAcentral lists this ribosomal RNA (253 nucleotides) under uncultured bacterium. RNAcentral describes it as "partial 16S ribosomal RNA". It matches the Rfam family "Bacterial small subunit ribosomal RNA", at positions 524 to 776 of the family's 1533-position model. The record is from RNAcentral.
UACGUAGGGUGCAAGCGUUAUCCGGAAUUAUUGGGCGUAAAGAGCUCGUAGGCGGUUUGUCGCGUCUGCUGUGAAAACCGGAGGCUCAACCUCCGGCCUGCAGUGGGUACGGGCAGACUAGAGUGCGGUAGGGGAGAUUGGAAUUCCUGGUGUAGCGGUGGAAUGCGCAGAGAUCAGGAGGAACACCGAUGGCGAAGGCAGAUCUCUGGGCCGUAACUGACGCUGAGGAGCGAAAGCAUGGGGAGCGAACAGG